Helianthus annuus (common sunflower) is the source of this 652-nucleotide long non-coding RNA. RefSeq lists it as uncharacterized. NCBI's taxonomy places the organism in Eukaryota, Viridiplantae, Streptophyta, Magnoliopsida, Asterales, Asteraceae. The transcript has 2 exons. The record is from RefSeq and is a predicted model, not a curated record.
AAAUACCCUCCAAUUCUAAUAAAUCUCACGUACGGUUAUUAUAGAUCAAUUUUGGCGCAAACUUCUUCAUCCUCUCUCACUCUCUGACUUCUGGAAUCGAACAUCUUCUUCACUUCCAGUUACAUCAAUCUGGUGCGUGGAAUCUCCAGGUGGUGUGAUGCGAGUUGCGAUAUACUAUCCUUCACUGGAGUAAGGCGUGUCCCUAUUUGUAAGACUUAUUCGUUGGAGCAAGAGAUGCACAUUAGCACCAUUUCAACAUUCUCCAUAUUUGCGCAACUCUUUCCAUAUUGGAAGGAGUCGUCCCUAAAUUCCCCAGUUUCCCCAUCUCUCUCUCUCUCUGUGUUAGUUCGGUGUGUUUCGGUGAACAAUCACAGAUCGGUGAUUGCAAGAGUGAAGGAACAGUGUUUUUGGUUGGGGCCAUUAGGUGAAUAUGUUUCCUCAGUUUCCCAAUCUCUCUCUCUCUCUCUCUCUGUGUGUGUGUGUAUGCUCUAAUAACUUGUUCGCAUUGAGAAAUGAGCCCAAAACAAAACCAUGCAUGAUGUGCCAUUAGAGUGGUGAGUGCGACUUCAUAGCGCCUUGCUAUGUGUCGUUGUUACUUGAUUGAUGAAUAAAGGUUCCAUUGUUGUUGUUCAAAAAAAAUGUUUUCCUAGUU